Molecule: ribosomal RNA, 504 nt
Filed under: uncultured bacterium
Lineage: Bacteria
Description: bacterial SSU rRNA
Rfam family: Bacterial small subunit ribosomal RNA
Source: RNAcentral
GAAAUCCCUCGGGAUGUAAACUUCGCAAGAACGGGAAGAAUAAGUAGGGGACAAUACCCCCUAUGAUGACGGUACCGUUUGUAAGCUCCGGCUAACUCCGUGCCAGCAGCCGCGGUAAUACGGGGGGAGCAAGCGUUGUUCGGAUUUACUGGGCGUAAAGGGCGCGUAGGCGGCCAGCACAAGUCAGUUGUGAAAUCUCCGAGCUUAACUCGGAAAGGUCAACUGAUACUGUGCGGCUAGAGUGCGGAAGGGGCAACUGGAAUUCUUGGUGUAGCGGUGAAAUGCGUAGAUAUCAAGAGGAACACCUGCGGCGAAGGCGGGUUGCUGGGCCGACACUGACGCUGAGGCGCGAAAGCUAGGGGAGCGAACGGGAUUAGAUACCCCGGUAGUCCUAGCCUUAAACGAUGAAUGCUUGGUGUCUGGGGUUAUAAAGUCCCCGGGUGCCGUCGCUAACGCUUUAAGCAUUCCGCCUGGGGAGUACGGUCGCAAGACUGAAACUCAAAG